GUGUUCGCUUUGGAAGCACAUACACUAAAAUUGGAAUGAUACAGAGAAGAUUAGCUUGGCCCUUUGGUGCAAGGACAACACGCAAAUGCAUGAAGCAUUUCAUAUUUUU
Molecule: small nuclear RNA, 109 nt
Organism: Phyllostomus discolor (pale spear-nosed bat)
Lineage: Eukaryota; Metazoa; Chordata; Mammalia; Chiroptera; Phyllostomidae
Source: RefSeq, a predicted model, not a curated record